GUUGGACGCUUAACCAACUGAGCCACCCAGCUGCCCCACCAUCCUGGAAAACUGAAGGUUAUUACACAUAUGACGGGUGCUGGAAAGUGGAGGGAUCCUGGAGAGAGACUCUAAGACUCCAAGACUGUCACAAAUGGUUUCUGCUGGCAACGAAUCCAGUCCUCCACCAAACACCCUCAGAGAAGGAGACAGGAGCCACAUGGAAGCAUUCCAUACUGGCUCCGGGACCGGGAAGUCCCACUCCACAUCUGACCACUCAUGUCUGGCCUCCGCGGAACAGCAGCAGCUUUGCUGGGCUGGCGUCUUCAACUUCAGAACCUUGAAUGUUGCCACCAGAGUCCUGCUGUGUGAUGCCCUCCUACGCACACCUUAGGGCCCCUGGUGAUGAGCUUCCUGGCUGGUGGGCUCAGAGAUGAAGACCGGGUAUGAAUUAUGACCCUGCCGGGAGCGGUAAAUGACACCAUCUCAGUCAGGCACUUGUCACAGACCAAGCGUGGUACACCUGUAAAAAUGGCUUUUGUGAAUUAGCAUUAAGGUUGCUCUGAGUUUGUUCAAGCUGCUAUAACAGAGCACCACAGGCUGGGUGACCUAUAAACAAUUUAUCGCUCACA
This is a long non-coding RNA of Lynx canadensis (Canada lynx), 611 nucleotides long. RefSeq lists it as uncharacterized. Lineage: Eukaryota; Metazoa; Chordata; Mammalia; Carnivora; Felidae. The transcript has 2 exons. The record is from RefSeq and is a predicted model, not a curated record.